This 114-nucleotide small nuclear RNA is filed under the name Marchantia polymorpha subsp. ruderalis. RNAcentral describes it as "U5 spliceosomal RNA". It matches the Rfam family "U5 spliceosomal RNA". From Rfam's summary of the family: U5 RNA is a component of both types of known spliceosome. The precise function of this molecule is unknown, though it is known that the 5' loop is required for splice site selection and p220 binding, and that both the 3' stem-loop and the Sm site are important for Sm protein binding and cap methylation. Lineage: Eukaryota; Viridiplantae; Streptophyta; Marchantiopsida; Marchantiales; Marchantiaceae. The record is from Rfam by way of RNAcentral.
UUGCCGCGUGUUCAGCCCAGAGCGAACUAUUCUUUCGCCUUUUACUAAAGAAUACCGUGUGCGGGACACACAGGCGGCUUCAACCAAUCUUUGGAACGCCCCUCGACGGGGCAC